Molecule: long non-coding RNA, 482 nt
Organism: Molossus molossus (Pallas's mastiff bat)
Lineage: Eukaryota; Metazoa; Chordata; Mammalia; Chiroptera; Molossidae
Exons: 3
Source: RefSeq, a predicted model, not a curated record
AAAGAUUUCUUUGAAUGGCUACUACAACAAGAACUUUGGGGGAAACUUGGUACAUUGGAAUCCACUGAAAAUGAGAACUGUUUCUCAUAGACACCCAGAAGUGAGUGAAAAGAAAACCACACAAUCGGACACCGCAGGAGAAGGCGUUUGCGAAGCCAACAUGAGACAAGGAACUGGUACUGAAAUCAUCGAAGAGCUAUCUACAAAUCUGUAAGAUGACAGCAGAGGGAUGAGAUCCAGAGAGAGAGAGUGAGAGAGAUCAAUACAUCUGGGGGCACACUCUCUUGGUUCCCCUGCAUCCACCCACAGGGUCCACAGCCAUGUGGACUCCAGACAAUGGAAUGAAGGACUGCACCUAGCCUGAUGCUGAUGCAGCCACUCCGGGCAACAGUAUGAUGUUUCUUCAAAGAAUUAAAAUUGAACUGCCAUGUGACCCAGUAUUCCACUUCUAGAAGCAUGAAAGAAACACCAGUCAAAAAGAA